Molecule: ribosomal RNA, 495 nt
Filed under: uncultured bacterium
Lineage: Bacteria
Description: partial 16S ribosomal RNA
Rfam family: Bacterial small subunit ribosomal RNA
Source: RNAcentral
GACGAACGCUGGCGGCGUGCCUAAUACAUGCAAGUAGAACGCUGAAGGAGGAGCUUGCUCUUCUGGAUGAGUUGCGCACGGGUGAGUAACGCGUAGGUAACCUCCCUGGUAGCGGGGGAUAACUCUUGGAAACGAUAGCUAAUACAGCAUAAGAGUUGAUGUUCCAUGACAUUUACUUAAAAGGUGCAAUCGCAUCACUACCAAAUGGUCGUGCGUUGUAUUAUCUAGUUGGUGGUGUAACGGCUUACCAAGGCGACGAUACAUCGCCGACCUGAGAGGGGGAUCGGCCACACUGGGACUGAGACACGGCCCAGACUCCUACGGGAGGCAGCAGUAGGGAAUCUUCGGCAAUGGACGGAAGGCCGACCGAGCAACGCCGCGUGAGUGAAGAAGGUUCUCGGAUCGUAAAGCUCUGUUGUAAGAGAAGAACGAGUGUGAGAGUGGAAAGUUCACACUGUGACGGUAUCUUACCAGAAAGCGACGGCUAACUACGUG